This 566-nucleotide unclassified non-coding RNA is filed under the name Centruroides sculpturatus (bark scorpion). RNAcentral describes it as "uncharacterized LOC111638988, transcript variant X2". The record is from RNAcentral. Lineage: Eukaryota; Metazoa; Arthropoda; Arachnida; Scorpiones; Buthidae.
AUUUAAUUUAACGAGCUUCCUAAAUUAGGAAAACAAACAUCUUUAUGUUGUUAUCGAAUUUUGAAAGUUAACAUAUGUUCACUAACAUUUGUCAAAUAAAUCUUUCAUAUAGAAUACGUAACUGAGAUACAUCUUAACUAACAGAAACACAUUCUAUAUAGUUCACAUUAUGAAUUUUAUUUAUCAAAAAGUAUCUCAUCUUUCAUUUUCUGAUGCACUAAAGAAAGAAAAAAAUAUAUAUAGUAACUAAAUAGAAAGUGGGCGGAUUUGACUUGACCGGACAACAGUGACAUUUUUUUUUCUUUUUUCUUUAUUUUUUUAUUAGUUUUUCUCUCAUCAGAUCACAACUGGAGCUGUGUUAAGUUGAGGAAUGUUAUAAUAACCUUCGAUGUGACGUAUUUUUCAAAGAAUUUUCACAAGUGUAACUAAUACUUUUUGAUGUGGGGGAGAACAUUGACAUGUAACAGCUUGCUCAGGGUUAUUAUCAUUUUCCAUCGGUGCCUUGAUCGAUAACACAAUGUGUAAACAAUACGAAUUCAGCUUCGAUAUCAAGCAGAAGUAGGCGG